Oryza sativa Japonica Group (Japanese rice) is the source of this 752-nucleotide non-coding RNA. The record is from RefSeq and is a predicted model, not a curated record. Lineage: Eukaryota; Viridiplantae; Streptophyta; Magnoliopsida; Poales; Poaceae.
CCCACUUAGCACAGCCACCAUUGCUAUCAUAGCAACGCAGCGACGAUCCUCCAGACCUCCACGCGCUGUUGAGGUGAUAAUUCAAUAUGUCCUGUAUCUCCUGAUCUAGAAUCACCGUAGGCCAUAGCAGCGGCGUCUCAUCCGAUCGAAUCACUGCAAGCGAUGGGGCAUGCAUCCCCUCCGCCUGGUAUGCAAAGUGCUGAUGAUGGGCGCAGCUCUCUCACUCGGACAUGGAAGGAGAAACGGAAUUGAGGAGCCCAUCGCAGUUAUCUUCGUGGUUUGCUAGGUGCUCCAUGGAUAUCCCGAUCAACAAAUUUAUUGCUUUGUGUAUUAGGAUUGAGUAGAUGAGAAGCUCAAGUGCAGAGAAUUUGUGGCUUUAAAAUGUGCAGAAUUGCAUGUUGGCUCUUGAUCUGAAGAAAAAUAAAUGAAACUCAUUCCUUGGUGGACUGAUUGGAGAUGCAUCAACACAGCAUAUACAGUCACUUACUUGACUCUAAAUUAACCUCCGCACGGAAGAGCAGAAUAAGAAACUUUAUUGGAAUGGAGUGUUAACUGUUCAUUACUGUCGGAAGCAAUUUUUAGAUACCUACAAUGUUGGAUCUUGUGGAUCCUGGCUACCGUACAUAAUAUGGUUUUUUGGACCAUAAUAUGUAGUGCUCUUUUUACUAGCAGUUGUACUUGCCUAUGCUUAUUAUUUCAGAGAUGAUUUCCUUCUGAAAUGACUGAAUUGUUGCAUCCUGCUUUAAUUUCAA